RNA transcript from Nomascus leucogenys (northern white-cheeked gibbon), 1735 nucleotides. It is a transcript of the gene named PHD finger-like domain-containing protein 5A pseudogene, with no coding region annotated. Lineage: Eukaryota; Metazoa; Chordata; Mammalia; Primates; Hylobatidae. The transcript has a single exon. The record is from RefSeq and is a predicted model, not a curated record.
UCAAAUACACAUUGAGUACCUACAGAGUAAGACCAUGUAGUAUAUUAUUACUAACAAGACAAAAAUAAUUCCUGCCCUCAGAGAACUGAAAGUCAGUACGGCCCAAGAAGUUAAUGGUGAAACAAUGAAAUAUUACAAACUGAGCUAUGCAUAAUAGGUGACCUAUGGAAAUGACUUUUAAUGGGAGAGGGAAUUUAAGGGAUGAAUACUUAUCAACAAAAGCACUGUCUGUGGCUCCCAGACAUUAAAGUCUAGAACACUUAGCUAGGGCUCUGACACAAGAAACUAUACAGUCAAUUCUCAUUACUGAUGGUAAUUAUGUUUUAUAAAGUCAUUGUGUACACUGAGUUAUUGAAUACUGAGUCACUGCACCUAGACAAAAUAAAUGGUUAAGUUCCUGUAGGCCUCUGGUCAUAUUUUCUUUUUUUUUUUUUUUUAAUAAACUCUCAGCCAGUAGAAGAUGAUCUAGUCAUAUCUUCAUUAACCAAUCAAUAUAUAACCUUCCAGAUCGACAUACAUACAAUAUAAAACCUUUUAGGUAUGUUUCUGUUUAAAAACACCUUAUUUAAAAUAAAUAACUGAUCCAUUAACACUGAAUUAUAGUCGACAGCAUUACAACUCACGCCUAAACAAAACUUCCCUACACAUUCCUUGUAAGGUAAUCAAAGCCUUCUUGUGUUUAAAAACACCAGGCAGCACUUCAAUACAACAUUUGGGGGCCAUUUUAAGCAUCAAAAUCACCAACAAGGCCAGGCACAGUGGCUAACACCUGUAAGCGGUCUCAAAAAAAUUAAAAAAUAGGCUUCUGGUGGCCGGCUUCAUUGGGAACUAUGGCUAAACAUCAUCCUAAUUUGAUCUUUUGCUGCAAGCCGGCUGGUGUUGUCAUCGGAAGAUUGUGUGAAAAAUGUGAUAGCAAGUGUGUGAUUUGUGACUCCUUUGUGUGUCCCUGCACUCUGGUGUGCAUAUGUGAUGAGUGUAACUACGUAUCUUACCAGGGGUGCUGUGUGAUCUGUGGAGGCCCUGGGGUCUCUGGUGCCUAUUACUGUAAGGAGUGCACCAUCCAGGAGGAAGGAUAGAGAUGGCUGCCCAAAGAUUAUCAAUCUGGGGAGCUCUUAAGACAGACCUCUUCUAUGAACACAAAAAAUUCAGCUUCAAGAAGAGGUGAUUGGUGGGUGGCCCCUUCCUCCCCCACAACAUUAAGCUGCUGCAGCGGCUAGAAAAGAUGCCUACUACUCCCGGCAGAAAGGGAGCAGAGCCCAGAGCAUCACCAGGAGUGCCUGCUAGUGUACUGGCAGCUUGCCACCCCUCCUCUCCCUUCACCCAGACACGUGGUAGGGAUGGAAAAGGAUUCUUCACAGAGCACUCUGGCACAUUGUAUUGGAGAAAAAUUGAUAGAUUAGUUAAUGGUUUUUCUGAAUUUGAGAAGCAAAGAUCUGUUCUCCAUAUUCAUAUGUUCUCCCUCAACCAAGAUCUUCUAAGAAAUAAUAUUUCAGUCUUCUGCUUGAGGAGUUGACUUUGAAGCUACACCCAGUGAAAAACAUGUUCUUGCAGCAGCUCUGGUGGCAGCUGUCCUUGAAGAACCUUUGGUGUGUGGUGGGAAGCUAUCAGAACAAGAAAUGUAGCCAUUUACUCUUUUAACACUUGCGCUAUUGUCAUGUUAUUUUCCUUCUGAGAAACUGGAAACCCUUUCUGUUGCUAUUACAUUAAUAAAGUUGGUGUUUAUUUUCUGGUAAAA